GCUAAUACCGCAUAACGUCGCAAGACCAAAGAGGGGGACCUUCGGGCCUCUUGCCAUCAGAUGUGCCCAGAUGGGAUUAGCUAGUAGGUGGGGUAACGGCUCACCUAGGCGACGAUCCCUAGCUGGUCUGAGAGGAUGACCAGCCACACUGGAACUGAGACACGGUCCAGACUCCUACGGGAGGCAGCAGUGGGGAAUAUUGCACAAUGGGCGCAAGCCUGA
RNAcentral lists this ribosomal RNA (222 nucleotides) under Enterobacter sp. RP10C-2. RNAcentral describes it as "partial 16S ribosomal RNA". It matches the Rfam family "Bacterial small subunit ribosomal RNA", at positions 162 to 386 of the family's 1533-position model. Lineage: Bacteria; Pseudomonadati; Pseudomonadota; Gammaproteobacteria; Enterobacterales; Enterobacteriaceae. The record is from RNAcentral.